RNAcentral lists this ribosomal RNA (278 nucleotides) under uncultured Streptococcus sp. Its description in RNAcentral is "partial 16S ribosomal RNA". It matches the Rfam family "Bacterial small subunit ribosomal RNA", at positions 1108 to 1382 of the family's 1533-position model. The record is from RNAcentral. Lineage: Bacteria; Bacillati; Bacillota; Bacilli; Lactobacillales; Streptococcaceae.
UUGUUAGUUGCCAUCAUUCAGUUGGGCACUCUAGCGAGACUGCCAGUAAUAAACCGGAGGAAGGUGGGGAUGACGUCAAAUCAUCAUGCCCCUUAUGACCUGGGCUACACACGUGCUACAAUGGUUGGUACAACGAGUUGCGAGUCGGUGACGGCGAGCUAAUCUACUUAAAGCCAAUCUCAGUUCGGAUUGGUAGGCUGCAACUCCGCCUACAUGAAGUCGGAAUCGCUAGUAAUCGCGGAUCAGCACGCCGCGGUGAAUACCGGUUCCCGGGCCUU